CCUACGGGUGGCAGCAGUGGGGAAUAUUGGGCAAUGGGCGCAAGCCUGACCCAGCAACGCCGCGUGAAGGAAGAAGGCUUUCGGGUUGUAAACUUCUUUUCUCAGGGACGAAGAAAGUGACGGUACCUGAGGAAUAAGCCUCGGCUAACUACGUGCCAGCAGCCGCGGUAAUACGGAGGUGGCAAGCGUUAUCCGGAUUUAUUGGGUGUAAAGGUCGUGUAGGCGGGAAAGCAAGUCAGAGGUGAAAACCCGGGGCUCAACCAGGAGCAUGCAUUUGAAACUGUUUUUCUUGAGUACUGGAGAGGCAAACGGAAUUCCGAGUGUAGCGGUGAAAUGCGUAGAUAUAAGGAGGAACACCAGUGGCGAAGGCGGAUUGCUGGACAGUAACUGACGCUGAGGCGCGAAAGCGUGGGGAGCAAACAGGAUUAGAUACCCCUGUAGUC
Molecule: ribosomal RNA, 443 nt
Filed under: uncultured bacterium
Lineage: Bacteria
Description: partial 16S ribosomal RNA
Rfam family: Bacterial small subunit ribosomal RNA
Source: RNAcentral